RNAcentral lists this long non-coding RNA (1529 nucleotides) under Strigops habroptila (Kakapo). Its description in RNAcentral is "lncRNA (ENSSHBG00005019996.1)". Lineage: Eukaryota; Metazoa; Chordata; Aves; Psittaciformes; Psittacidae. The record is from RNAcentral.
CAAUGCAUGGGUUAGAUAUUCAUAUUGGGAACAAUGGUUAUUCAAAGAAGCGAAUUUACGCAUGCCCUUUACCAAAAGGUUUAUUGCCAAAAGCUGAAUUUCUUAAAUUUAAUGAUUGAUAAGGAUUUCAAGGGAGAGAGGGAGAACCUCUCACUGUUGCUCACAAAUGUGAGAUAACUCAGGUUGACUUAAAAAAAAUCACCAUUUGUGAAUCUUUGCAUUCAGCUUAGGUACGACCUGCUUCCUGAUGGCAUGACUAAGGUUGGUAGGUUGAGGCAGUUAAAAGUGAUAAAACACCAUUAGAGGUGGAGUAGCAAGAUGUUACAAAGAAAACCACCUCAUGGGGCAAUACAUCUUAAUAUUAUUAUCUGUCCUGAUAAACAAACAAACAGAAAACCCAAAACCAGCACAAAACAAAAAAUCAUUCAAACAAACAAAAAAACCCAACCAAAACCCUGCAUAGUGAUAAACAUGUACACAGCCUAUUUUAUAGAAAAAGUCAUGGAGACAUUUUGCUUCAGAAAACAUUCAUUAGAAUUCAAAGACUUACCUUUCUUUUAUUGAAUAAAAAGCCCUUAAAAAAACCCCUCUACUGAUCUCUGGAAAAUAUGGCUAUGGCAAAGAUAGUUAUGCAUGAUGCACUUCCAAGUUAUGCAAAUCCUAAAGAGGAAAUAAUAUUAAUCCCCAGAUUCUACGUAUUCUUUGCUAGUAAUUUCUUAUGCAUGCUCAAAAUCCAGAAAGAAACCCAACCUACCAAUUUUAUUUUUAGAGAGUCUAAAAAUUUACAGAUUUUCAUGGAGUAAAUAAUACAGGAGAACACAAAUGAAAGAUGAAAGUCAACUUGAAAGUAAAUUCACUGAAUGGAAGACAUCUUAUCCCCAACCCUAGAUUUUAUGCAGCUAUCCCAUGCCACAGCUAUCACAUCAGUUGUCUAUGGUAGUUGCUUCCAUACAUUUUGUAGCUGAGCCACGAUGAUGAGUUCUCCUCCUACCUCAUUAUGUCACUGUCUCUGCCUUAACCCACCCAUCCUGCUGCCAUCUCGCUGUCUCCCUGCCAAGGUACCUUUUCAUGUCAGACAAAAAGAGAGUUGUAUAUACUACAACUGAGUAAUAGAUAAAAUUUCUCUGCUUGGAAAUGGAGCAAAGUCCUCUUCUAAAAUGGAAGAAGCCUGUGUUGGCUUCCUCUACCGGUAAGUCCCCUAAACAUUCAUUGUCAAAACCCACUGCUUUUAGAAGCUUUGCGCACAUCUUAAAAGGUGGCACUAUUUAUUGACUGCACUGUAGUCAUGCUUUUGCCUAAUUUUUUGUGGCAAAAUUAGGUGAGGAGAGGUGUCUUCCAAGAAGGUCUAUAAAGGACCCAGGUUUAAAUAUCACUUUGGAGUUAGUGAAAUCGAUCAACUACACUUCUUUUAUUUCUUUGAAGGACAGAUGAAAUGAGUGGCUGAUAGAUCAGUAGCUGCACAUGCAGAAGUCUACUUUGGAGGUGACAAAUACAGAGAUUACUGAGAUUAAGAUGCUGAAAGAACAAGA